CGACGAGUGGCGGACGGGUGAGUAAUACUUAGGAAUCUGCCCAGUGUGGGGGACAACUCGAGGAAACUCGAGCUAAUACCGCAUACGCCCUACGGGGGAAAGCGGGGGAUCUUCGGACCUCGCGCUAUUGGAUGAGCCUAAGUCGGAUUAGCUUGUUGGUGAGGUAAAGGCUCACCAAGGGGACGAUCCGUAGCUGGUCUGAGAGGACGAUCAGCCACACUGGGACUGAGACACGGCCCAG
RNAcentral lists this ribosomal RNA (241 nucleotides) under uncultured bacterium. RNAcentral describes it as "partial 16S ribosomal RNA". It matches the Rfam family "Bacterial small subunit ribosomal RNA", at positions 89 to 334 of the family's 1533-position model. The record is from RNAcentral.